CAACUGGGGGAUCGCUCGGCUCGAGUGCCGAUGAAGGUCGUGACAAGCUGCGAUAAGCUGCGGGGAGACGCAAGAAUGUCUUGGAUCCGCAGAUGGCUGAAUGGGACUUCCUGUAUCUUCGGAUACAAUCGCGAUGCGAUAGGGAACCCCCCGAAUUGAAGCAUCUUAGUAGGGGGAGGAAAUGAAAUCAACAGAGAUUCCGUGAGUAGUGGCGAAUGAAAACGGAAAAGGACAAGCCGAAUCCCAACUCGAAAGUGAGGGAGAUGUGGUUUGCAGUCUAUCGUCUAAGUCAGAGAAGGUGAAGUUGCCUGGAACGGCACAGCCAAAGAGGGUGAAAGUCCCGUAACCAUACCUGAUAUGAUCACGUGACUGUAAAAGAGUAGCGUGCGCUGGAAAUCGCGCGUGAAUAUGGGAGGCAGAAACUUCCAAUCCUAAAUACAACUCGAGACCGAUAGUUUACAAGUAACGUGAGUGAAAGCUGAAAAGUAUCCUUGGCGGGAUGUGAAAAGAACGUGAAACCAGUUGGGUACAGGCUGACAAGGCGUGAAAGCGAUGAUAUGAGCAGCGUCUUGUCGUGCGUUUAGAAAAAUGCCCCAGGGAGUUUUGAUCAUUGGCGAGGUUAAUCAUUAAAAAUGAGUAGCCGAAGGGAAACCGACAAGUCCGCAGCAGUUUACUGUGAGGGACGAAGUGUGCUCGCUUGGAGUCAAUGGUGGAAGACCUGAAGCCCGUCGAUCUAUGCCUGGCCAGAUUGAAGCCCGAUGAAAGUUGGGUGGAGGAUCGCACCGUUGCUGAUCUGCAAAUCGCUCGGACGAGCUGGGUAUAGGGGUGAAAGUCCAAUCGAGAUGGGCAAUAGCAGGUUCCGCGUGAAACUACUCGUAGGUAGACGUUAGUGGAGAUUGAUUACGCUGUAGAGCACUGAUUGUGCGUUUAGGGGGAGCGAUCCCUCGGCGUGCUGCCAAACUCCGAAGGUGUAAUCGUUGUAGAUACUAGCAGUGAGUGAUGGUGGGUAAGCUACCAUUACGUAAGGUGAACAAACCAGCCUGAAGUUAAGGUCCCUAAAUAUCAGUUAAGUGUCACAGACAAACCGUGUCCGUGGUCGAAAACAACCAGAAGGUGGGCUUAGAAGCAGCCAUCCUUGAAAGAGUUCGUAACAGAUCACUGGUCU
RNAcentral lists this ribosomal RNA (1165 nucleotides) under Methanobacteriota archaeon. RNAcentral describes it as "bacterial LSU rRNA". It matches the Rfam family "Archaeal large subunit ribosomal RNA", at positions 19 to 1237 of the family's 2987-position model. Lineage: Archaea; Methanobacteriati; Methanobacteriota. The record is from RNAcentral.